CAUUCACAUUCAAGAGUUAGAGAAGUGGUAAGAUAUACACAUUUUGGUCCAAAAAUUGUCCAUAUCCCAGGGGUUAUAGAUGCGUAAAUAUACUUGUAUAAAUGAUUUUCUAAUUCUUUUUUUUUUUCUCUCUCUUUCCAUCUGCUAUUGUCCACUAAGUUUGGGAUAAUAUAUGUAUGGGCUCAAAUCACCAAUAAUUCACUUUUAGAUACGUUACACGGUUUAUCGUUAAGCAGUGCUGUGUACAACAAUGGCUAGCAAGGAAAGGCUCUUCAAUCCAACUCUAUUGCUUAUAAUUAUCAUGUCAUCCUUGUGGGGUUCGUCAGCGGCCUUAGACACGCUAAAGCAAGGCGAUGUUCUUAAUUCUUCCCAGAACCUCGUUUCUGCCAAACAGAGGUUCACCUUAGGAUUCUUCAGCCUAACUUCUUAUUAUGGAGACAAAAAAAACAGUUACUUGGGCAUUUGGUACACAAAUUAUACGGAAAACAAAGUAUGGAUCGCCAACCGAAACAGACCUAUUUCAGAUGAUUCAAGAGCGUUUCUUACCCUUGACCAUCUGGGAAAGUUGAUGAUCAAUUCCAGUGGAUUUGGAGGUGAUCCUUUUGAGAUAUAUUCUGGUGGUGGAACUGAAAGCACAAGUGUUACUCUACUAGACGAUGGCAACUUAGUAGUAUCAGAAGUGAACUCCAAUGGCUCUAUUGGAAGGAGCUUGUGGGAAAGCUUCGAUGAUCCCACUGACACGCUUCUGCCUGGGAUGAAAUUGGGUGUCAAUCACAAAACUGGGCGUAAUUGGUCUCUUACUUCAUGGUUGGCAGAAAAUGAUCCAGCAUCAGGAGCCUUCACACUCGAGUGGGAACCCAAGACAAGGAGAUUGGUCAUCAAGCGGCGAGGGGUACCUUAUUGGAGUAGCGGUCUGCAGGUGAGCAGCUCGAAGAAUGUAUCCUUGUUUGAAUAUAUUCACCCCACCAAAGGUCAGGAUUACAUUAUCAAUACGGAUGCAGAAGGGCAGUACUUCACUUAUUCUCUUGACACUGAGUUUGACUCGUUGGAUCAAGAAAGAUCGGCAUGGCAGUUACAAUACUGGGGCUCGAUAAUGGAUAGAGGCAUUUCAAUUAUGAAGAUGAGUUUUUGCUAUGGUUACGGUAUGGAUGAUGAAGGAUGCGAGACAUGGAAUCAACCAGAGUGCAGGCUUAUGGGUCGCCAAACGUUUGAGCAAAAAUCUGGAAUCUUUACACGUAUAGGUCCUGACGGUCUACCGCAACUUGCAGCCGGUGUUUUUGAUAACAGACCAACCAUUGGUCCUGCUGAUUGUAGAGAUCUUUGCUGGAAUAACUGUGACUGUCUGGGCUAUAGUGGAAAAGAAGGAACUGGAUCUGGAUGCCAGUAUUGGGAAGGAAAUGUAACAUUCAAUCCUGAUGAUGGACGUUCUCGUUCAAGAAUUUUAAAAUAUGUUCUAACGAAAGAAGAUCCUUCAAAUAAAGAUGAUAAGGAAAAUAAGAAAUGGAUUGUACCAGUGAUCGUUUCUGCUAUACUUGUGCUUUUCUUUGGCACCUUCUGCUUAUGGAGGAUAUAUCGACAACGAGUUGACGUCGAAAGAAGGGAAGAGAAACACCUACUUGAGCUCACAACACCUGAUAGAUUAUUAGAUGCAGAUGAGCUUGAAAAAGACGGAAAUGCAAGACAUAAUAUAAAAGUGUUCAGCUUUGCAUGUAUUGUAGCAGCUACAAAUAACUUCUCGCCUGAAACUAAGCUUGGAGAAGGUGGUUUUGGACCCGUUUAUAAGGGAGCAUUACCUGAGGGGCGAGAAAUAGCAAUAAAAAGGUUGUCAAGAAAUUCAGGACAAGGAUUAGUGGAGUUCAAAAAUGAGCUUAUUCUUAUAGCUAAACUCCAACACAUGAAUCUUGUCAGACUCCUUGGAUGCUGCUUUCAAGGAGAGGAAAAGAUGUUGAUUUAUGAGUUCAUGCCCAACAGAAGUUUGGAUUCCUUUCUCUUCGAUCCAACUAAAAAUUAUCUAUUGGACUGGAAAAUACGAGUCAAUAUCAUUGAAGGGAUUGCUCAAGGACUACUUUACCUUCACAAAUACUCAACGUUAAAAGUAAUACAUAGAGAUUUGAAAGCUAGUAACAUUUUGCUAGAUGAAAACAUGUGUGCCAAAAUAUCUGAUUUUGGUAUGGCAAGAAUUUUCAAGCGUGAUGGAUUGGAAGCAAAUACUAAUAGAAUUGUCGGGACAUAUGGUUACAUGUCCCCUGAGUAUGUCAUGGAGGGCAUUUUCUCUGAAAAAUCUGAUGUAUUCAUCUUUGGUGUUCUAAUGCUUGAAAUUGUGAGCGGAAGGAAGAACAACAGCUUCUAUAAUGUUAACGGCCCACUGAACCUCGUAGGAUAUGCAUGGGAGUUGUGGCAAAGAGAUGCUAGAAAGACAUAAUGGAUCCAACUUUAAAAGAUUCAUGCCCUAUGCACCAAUUGCUAAGAUUCAUUCACGUGGCUCUCUUAUGUUUACAAGAUAGUGCGGCGGACAGACCUACAAUUCUAGAAGUUAUUUCUAUGCUUAAAAAUGAAACUGCGCCACUUCCCAUUCUUAAAAAGUCAGCAAUUUUCACGGAAAGCAAUGUCAAUAAUGAAGAUUUACAAAGAAAAGGGUCAGAAAACCGUUCAGUAAAUGGCUUGUCCAUUUCUAGAAUGGAUGCAAGAUAG
Quercus lobata is the source of this 2691-nucleotide RNA transcript. It is a transcript of the gene named G-type lectin S-receptor-like serine/threonine-protein kinase At1g67520, with no coding region annotated. The record is from RefSeq and is a predicted model, not a curated record. Lineage: Eukaryota; Viridiplantae; Streptophyta; Magnoliopsida; Fagales; Fagaceae. The transcript is spliced from 7 exons.